AUACUCAACCUCGUGGCUGAAACUUUGAUUUUAUUAAGGAAUCAUAUACUAUCUCAAAAGACGUCACAUGGUAUCACCACAUUAUGUUGUAACACACUAGAGCGAAAGAAUUUUACAAUUUAUACAUUUUAAACGGUAGAGACUGUUUAUAAUUUAUUUCAAGUGUCGUCACUGGACGCGUACGUAUGUCGUAUGUUAACGUGUGUAUGCGCAGCCUGAUACUGUAUUCAGACUGACAGUAGCAUUGUGUUUCUAUUUACAUACAUCGACACACACGCGUCUGAGAUAAUUGUGUUGGUGCAAGCUGUCAGUAUCAAGAAAACCAAGCUGCGAUAAUGAUGAAAUGCAAAUCAGCACCGUCACCAGACGUGCUCAGAUCAUUUUACUUUAAUCUCUGUCGUAGGAAAAUUCGUGCACGCACACAUUCUUGUGAUGACACGAUAAAAAAAGGUCGUUAAUACGUAAAUGGCACGCGCGUGCAGCGAGUGCGAGCGUUUGUUUUUCGGAUGAAGUUUAGCGAGCGACUGGCUUUAGGUUGGUAGUGGUCGCUCGAGAGCUCGAAUGGGAAAGGUCGUACAACUGUAAGUGCAGCUGUACUCAACGUACCGAACUGGAGACCGGUAUUAGUACCAUUAGGAAUUCGUGCCCCAGAUGUAUCUGCAUAUCAACAUACGUAAACAAGCGCCAUAUUGUUUUGGUCAAAUGCUGCCUACAAGAAGAUGGCUUGUUUUUUUUCAAAUACACAUAUAACAUUGUAGUUUGCGGUUAAGAAAUAAGAGGUGAUCAGUUUCAAUAGGCAUCAUGAGACGUCCGACAUACUGAUGCCAAAUCGAUGAAUCGCAGCGAAUUCCAGCUACAUCUGACGAACACAAGAAGUGACACACUCCCGGUUGUCGCAGGAAUGCAGCAUUUUUCAUAAUUAGUACGCAUAAAAAGAAUAUAAAGGAUUUCUAAGAAUCACUGAUAUAAAUGUAAAAGAAACAUUACCCAAUUACAAGCCAGAAGAGUGAAUAGAGCUACUGUAAUAAUAAUAAAUAGAGGAUGGAAUACUUUCCCAAGAAAUUGAAAACCUCUCAUGUAUUGCUAGCGCUAGUAGCUACUCUAUACGAAACGUUGGCGCCGAGCCCGCAAACCGUACCCAGGAAUUCCACAACCAAGCUUUAUCACGCGGUUGAUAACUGCAAUUACAGGUGUCCGUUUAAUUUCGUUGCGUAACUAAUUGUCAGCCGCAAUUUCAAUGCUAAUGUCUGUGCGCAAAUGCGCAUAGUCUCAAAGACUCUGUCAGCGGGAAAGAACCACAAAACGAUCACUUGAGGAAACAGGGGAAAUGACGAGACACGUCGCUGAAGCUCCGUACGUCCGCAUCUGCGGGUCUUCCCUGAAGAAUUAGUCACUGGAAGCGUAGCGCUAAUCGUUAAGUAGCACGAAAGGACGCUUCGUGCGAUUUGCUAAUGUAAACACCGCCAGGUUGCCGGCCAUACUGCGGCGUUGCAUCCCGCCGCGCUUUUGAACUUCGCAUGUCAAUAAUCCUUGACCUAUUCGACGUAUCAACGAACGAGAGUGGAGGAACGUGCCACUGCUGAACGCUGAAAGACCCUGUGCCCUUGCCAUUGCGAUUUAAUGCGCUCGUUCUAUAACCGUUUAGGCUUUCAUCUGAUUUCGAUCGUGACCGAAUAAGGCGCAGUCAAGCACCACUGGAUGCAUACUGAAAACUGUUGGAAACGGGAUAUUCGAACGGCGACUCCGAUGCCUGGUGCUACAGGCUAGGGACCAACGUCGACGUCCCUCGCCCCUCUUCAAGCAUCCGACGAUGUCGUACGGCAGACAUCGUGCAGCGUUGUAGCGUACAGUGACCAUACGGCACACAGUAUACGUAUACCCCACACCCAAUGAUGAUACGUAGUCACCUUAGCAGCGGUGCUCAUAACGAUCGGUUCGCGUGCUGUCGUUGCAUUUGUCGAUACCAGGUAAUGCUGCAGUGUCUUUUUUUAAACGCGAAUGAUUUUGCGCCCGCGUUGCUCGGACAGCGGAUAGAUUUACACACCCCGUGACAACGUUGCAGGUCUUGCUAUCCUGCUCGAUGUAGAUACUGUCUUGUUCAUACAUUAUUGCAAGAAACUUCUUGGAAAAUAAUUGUUUAUGAUUAAAAUAUGAGAAAUCAGAGUUUCUUGCAAGGAAUGUCAUCACCUCUAGAACCACCAUAAACUGCUUGGUCGAUAAAUCGCUAACGGUACAAAUCCAAUUUCUCAUUAUCCCGGGCCCCUAGUUUGAAACUGAGCGACGAAUUUAGGGUGGGUCACAGGGUGACUAUUAGUCACUAACUGCACGAAAACUGUAUAGAGAGUUUGCUAGAUGGAAAUAAUGCUUGUUGCGUUUCAGUUAGAACUCUGUAUUUUCAUCAGUUUUGCAAAUAUUGACUUUAGAUAACGAAACUACAAGGAAUCGAUUUUUCUUUACUUCCCUGGGUGUACAUUCCUCGCUUCAUUGUUUUGAAAGGUCUGCAC
This is a long non-coding RNA of Hylaeus anthracinus, 2504 nucleotides long. RefSeq lists it as uncharacterized. The record is from RefSeq and is a predicted model, not a curated record. Lineage: Eukaryota; Metazoa; Arthropoda; Insecta; Hymenoptera; Colletidae. The transcript is spliced from 3 exons.